This 425-nucleotide ribosomal RNA is filed under the name uncultured bacterium. Its description in RNAcentral is "partial 16S ribosomal RNA". It matches the Rfam family "Bacterial small subunit ribosomal RNA", at positions 354 to 796 of the family's 1533-position model. The record is from RNAcentral.
GUGGGGAAUCUUGCGCAAUGGGCGAAAGCCUGACGCAGCCAUGCCGCGUGAAUGAUGAAGGUCUUAGGAUUGUAAAAUUCUUUCACCGGGGACGAUAAUGACGGUACCCGGAGAAGAAGCCCCGGCUAACUUCGUGCCAGCAGCCGCGGUAAUACGAAGGGGGCUAGCGUUGCUCGGAAUUACUGGGCGUAAAGGGUGCGUAGGCGGGAAGGUGUGUCGACCUGUAAAUCUAUCGUUUCAAGCGGUAGGCUUGGGUUGAAACUGCCUUUCUAGAGGAUUUCAGGGGAGUUUGGAAUUUACGGUGUAGCAGUGAAAUGCGUGGAUAUCGUAAGGAAGGCUUGUGGCGAAGGCGAAACUCUGGGGAAUACCUGACGCUGAGGCGCGAAGGCUAGGUUAGCAAACGGGAUUAGAUACCCCGGUAGUCC